This 496-nucleotide ribosomal RNA is filed under the name uncultured bacterium. Its description in RNAcentral is "partial 16S ribosomal RNA". It matches the Rfam family "Bacterial small subunit ribosomal RNA", at positions 28 to 506 of the family's 1533-position model. The record is from RNAcentral.
GACGAACGCUGGCGGCGUGCCUAAUACAUGUAAGUUGAGCGCUGAAGGUUGGUACUUGUACCGACUGGAUGAGCAGCGAACGGGUGAGUAACGCGUGGGGAAUCUGCCUUUGAGCGGGGGACAACAUUUGGAAACGAAUGCUAAUACCGCAUAAAAACUUUAAACACAAGUUUUAAGUUUGAAAGAUGCAAUUGCAUCACUCAAAGAUGAUCCCGCGUUGUAUUAGCUAGUUGGUGAGGUAAAGGCUCACCAAGGCGAUGAUACAUAGCCGACCUGAGAGGGUGAUCGGCCACAUUGGGACUGAGACACGGCCCAAACUCCUACGGGAGGCAGCAGUAGGGAAUCUUCGGCAAUGGACGAAAGUCUGACCGAGCAACGCCGCGUGAGUGAAGAAGGUUUUCGGAUCGUAAAACUCUGUUGGUAGAGAAGAACGUUGGUGAGAGUGGAAAGCUCAUCAAGUGACGGUAACUACCCAGAAAGGGACGGCUAACUACGU